CGCACCCAGCCCAAACGCUACAGAGCCCAGAAUAACAAAGACAACAACGCUGGGCCUGAGAAGUCUGGACUCUGAAAAUAAACAUGAACCAAAGGUCCAAAAUCCAACAAAAGCCCGGCCCAGAACCUAUCUCAAGCUUGGGCUUCAAAGAAACUAAAUUGGGCUUGGCAUGAUCAAAGUAAAAAGUAGAAACCCAAAAGGGAACAGACCCACAUGAUUAUUUUUCUCUGACUUAGAAAAGUCAAAAUCAACUAGGUUGAUAAGAGAGUUGACAGAGGCAGGCAGAAAGAAAGGUUGAUUAAAACCCUUUUUAUAUAUUCAGAGAUAUUGUUUCUACUCCAAAGAAAGCAC
This 351-nucleotide long non-coding RNA is filed under the name Prunus persica (peach). RNAcentral describes it as "long non-coding RNA (PPER_LNC008536)". Lineage: Eukaryota; Viridiplantae; Streptophyta; Magnoliopsida; Rosales; Rosaceae. The record is from RNAcentral.